This is a small nuclear RNA of Psammomys obesus (fat sand rat), 105 nucleotides long. NCBI's taxonomy places the organism in Eukaryota, Metazoa, Chordata, Mammalia, Rodentia, Muridae. The record is from RefSeq and is a predicted model, not a curated record.
GUUCUCUUCUGCAGCACAUAUACUAAAACUGGAACAAAAGAGAGAAGAUUAGCAUGGCCCCUGCACAAAGAUCAUAUGCAAAUUCAUGAAGUGUUCCAUAUUUUA